RNAcentral lists this ribosomal RNA (253 nucleotides) under uncultured bacterium. RNAcentral describes it as "partial 16S ribosomal RNA". It matches the Rfam family "Bacterial small subunit ribosomal RNA", at positions 524 to 776 of the family's 1533-position model. The record is from RNAcentral.
UACGGGGGGGGCAAGCGUUGUUCGGAAUUACUGGGCGUAAAGGGCUCGUAGGUGGCCAACUAAGUCAGACGUGAAAUCCCUCGGCUUAACCGGGGAACUGCGUCUGAUACUGGAUGGCUUGAGUGUGGGAGAGGGAUGCGGAAUUCCAGGUGUAGCGGUGAAAUGCGUAGAUAUCUGGAGGAACACCGGUGGCGAAGGCGGCAUCCUGGACCGGCAUUGACGCUGAGGAGCGAAAGCCAGGGGAGCAAACGGG